GACGAACGCUGGCGGCGUGCUUAACACAUGCAAGUCGAACGGUGAAGGGACCAGCUUGCUGGUUCUGGAUGAGUGGCGAACGGGUGAGUAACACGUGAGUAACCUGCCCCCUUCUUCUGGAUAACCGCAUGAAAGUGUGGCUAAUACGGGAUAUUCUGGGUCUGUCGCAUGGCGGGCCCGGGAAAGAUAUUGCUUCGGUGGGGGAUGGGCUCGCGGCCUAUCAGCUUGUUGGUGGGGUGAUGGCCUACCAAGGCGGUGACGGGUAGCCGGCCUGAGGGGGUGGACGAUCGCAAUGGGGCUGCGGCCCAGCCCAGAACCGUACGGAGGGCAGCGGUGGGGAAUAUUGCGCACUGAGCGCUAGCCUGAUGCAGCGGCGCCGCGUGAGAGAGGCAGGCCUUCGGGUUGUAAACCUCUUUCGCCAGUGAAGCAGGCCUGCUCCUUGUGGGUGGGUUGACGGUAGCUGGAUAAGAAGCGCCGGCUAACUACGUG
RNAcentral lists this ribosomal RNA (489 nucleotides) under uncultured bacterium. Its description in RNAcentral is "partial 16S ribosomal RNA". It matches the Rfam family "Bacterial small subunit ribosomal RNA", at positions 28 to 507 of the family's 1533-position model. The record is from RNAcentral.